RNAcentral lists this ribosomal RNA (392 nucleotides) under uncultured eukaryote. RNAcentral's name for it is "partial 18S ribosomal RNA". It matches the Rfam family "Eukaryotic small subunit ribosomal RNA", at positions 592 to 976 of the family's 1831-position model. The record is from RNAcentral.
CAAUAGCGUAUACUAAAGUUGUUGCGAUUAAAAAGCUCGUAGUUGGAUCUCAGGCAUGGGCGCACGGUCCGCCUCGCGGCGGUCACUGUGUGUUUUGUUUCCCAUCCUACGCUUCCCGGUUAUCAGCCCAUGGUGCUCUUCACUGAGCGUUUUGGGUGGCCGGAACGUUUACUUUGAAGAAAUUAGAGUGUUCAAAGCAGGCACGUCGCCUGAAUAAUGGUGCAUGGAAUAAUGGAAUAGGACCUCGGUUCUAUUUUGCUGGUUUUCGGAACACGAGGUAAUGAUUAAGAGGGACAGACGGGGGCAUCCGUAUUGCGGUGUUAGAGGUGAAAUUCUUGGAUCAUCGCAAGACGGACAACUGCGAAAGCAUUUGCCAAGCAUGUUUUCAUUAG